This 467-nucleotide ribosomal RNA is filed under the name uncultured Sphingobacteriales bacterium. RNAcentral's name for it is "bacterial SSU rRNA". It matches the Rfam family "Bacterial small subunit ribosomal RNA", at positions 916 to 1381 of the family's 1533-position model. The record is from RNAcentral. Lineage: Bacteria; Pseudomonadati; Bacteroidota; Sphingobacteriia; Sphingobacteriales.
GACGGGGCCCGCACAAGCGGUGGAGCAUGUGGUUUAAUUCGAUGAUACGCGAGGAACCUUACCUGGGCUCAAAUGUAUGUUGACGUAUUCUGAAAGGGAUACUUCUUCGGACAAUAUACAAGGUGCUGCAUGGUUGUCGUCAGCUCGUGCCGUGAGGUGUCGGGUUAAGUCCCAUAACGAGCGCAACCCCUAUCAUUAGUUGCCAUCAGGUCAAGCUGGGGACUCUAAUGAAACUGCCUACGCAAGUAGUGAGGAAGGUGGGGAUGACGUCAAAUCAGCACGGCCCUUACGUCCAGGGCUACACACGUGCUACAAUGGCCGGUACAAAGGGCAGCUACCUGGUGACAGGAUGCUAAUCUCAAAAGCCGGUCUCAGUUCGGAUCGGAGUCUGCAACUCGACUCCGUGAAGCUGGAUUCGCUAGUAAUCGCGCAUCAGCCACGGCGCGGUGAAUACGUUCCCGGGCCUU